UACGGAGGGGGGCUAGCGUUGUUCGGAAUUACUGGGCGUAAAGCGCACGUAGGCGGACCAGAAAGUCAGAGGUGAAAUCCCAGGGCUCAACCUUGGAACUGCCUUUGAAACUCCUGGUCUUGAGUUCGAGAGAGGUGAGUGGAAUUCCGAGUGUAGAGGUGAAAUUCGUAGAUAUUCGGAGGAACACCAGUGGCGAAGGCGGCUCACUGGCUCGAUACUGACGCUGAGGUGCGAAAGCGUGGGGAGCAAACAGG
This 254-nucleotide ribosomal RNA is filed under the name uncultured Rhodobacter sp. RNAcentral's name for it is "partial 16S ribosomal RNA". It matches the Rfam family "Bacterial small subunit ribosomal RNA", at positions 524 to 776 of the family's 1533-position model. The record is from RNAcentral. Lineage: Bacteria; Pseudomonadati; Pseudomonadota; Alphaproteobacteria; Rhodobacterales.